This is a long non-coding RNA of Mugil cephalus (flathead mullet), 478 nucleotides long. RefSeq lists it as uncharacterized. The record is from RefSeq and is a predicted model, not a curated record. Lineage: Eukaryota; Metazoa; Chordata; Actinopteri; Mugiliformes; Mugilidae. The transcript has 4 exons.
GAAGAAGGACUCAAGGAUAAGAGACAACCUGCAUUCUGAAGAGAAAAGAAAAACACAUCAGAGCAGAAAUGACACCAUGUUCUACAAUGCUUCUCAUUAAAAAUGAAAAGAAGAAGAAGGAGGAGAAGAAGAAGAAGAAGAAGAAGCCAAGUACCUGUGAGAAAUAAGAAAUGCUAUGAAAUGAGACGGAUUAGGAGGGAGCCAUUGAGGUUGUGUCCUGGAUGAACACUAUGGGGAGAAGAGAAACAAUAACAGAAGAAGUUUCUGCCUCUACAACAGUCUUUGCCGUGACCCGGAUUUGAACCGGGGUUGCUGCGGCCACAACGCAGAGUACUAACCUCUAUACGAUCACGGCUGCUUGACACUGUGCCUGUUAUAUCAAAAAGAGACAAUUACGUGGGGAUGAAGCAAGAGAAACGUGACAAAGAGAAGAAGAAAUAGAACCAAAGGACGAAAAGGAGGUCACAAGGGAAAAUAU